GUCACAUUCAUUCAUUCAUUGUGAAACAGGAAGAAGCGUCGAUAAGAAGAUAAUUCGUAUUGUUUGCUAACCGCUAAAAAGAAGAAGUUGUUUGCCGUGUGGUCCAAGCCUGAUGCAGGGCAGUUCUGCUGGGUUGAGGGGUCCCUGCUGCAGUUUUACCAGUAAAGAAAAUGACUCAUUACAAUUCACUUGGAGGACCACAUAAGCCAUGCAAUGGUGCAUGGAGGAGCACCAAGAGGACAUAAAGUGGAAGUUACCAAAGGUCCAUCGUGGUGCUGGAAACAGAGUCACUGUGAGUUAUUCUGUGGGGUGGUGAAAGGUCCUGCCUUUCUACAGAUGGACAGUAAAAAUCAACAGAAUGCCAUCAAAGACUACCGGGGGUGGGGGAAUCGGGAUGAAGCAAGAGAGGUCUUUUUAUUCAUCUUUGAGUAUCUGGAGGAGCUGGACACAUUCAUAUCAAAUUGUCUUGAUGAACAAGGCCUCAUGCCAUGUCCUGUGAAUAAUCUUUCAGAGUAAGGAAUCUCUCUGUGUAGCCUAUGUAUGUAUGUAUGUGUACUGCAUAACAAGAACUGUUUGUCUGAUCAUUCAACUGCUCAGACUUAUGAUAUUUGGAACAUAUAUUUUGUUAAACACAAUCAGUCAAAAGUUUUUGAACAGUAAGAUUUUUAAUGUUUUUUUUUUUUUAAGAAGUCUCUUCUGCCCACCAGUCCUGGAUUUAUUUGAUCCAAAGUAUAGCAAAAACAGUAACAUUUUAAAAUAUUUUUACGAUUUAAUAUAGCUCUUUUUCUAUUUGAAAGAGUUUUCUAUAUUUCUAUUAAAAUGUAAUUAAUUCCAUUAAUUUCAAAUAUGACAUUUAGCAUUA
Molecule: long non-coding RNA, 862 nt
Organism: Labeo rohita (rohu)
Lineage: Eukaryota; Metazoa; Chordata; Actinopteri; Cypriniformes; Cyprinidae
Exons: 3
Source: RefSeq, a predicted model, not a curated record